GACGAACGCUGGCGGCGUGCUUAACACAUGCAAGUCGAACGGAAAGGCCCUGCUUUUGUGGGGUGCUCGAGUGGCGAACGGGUGAGUAACACGUUAGUAACCUGCCCUUGACUUUGGGAUAACUUCAGGAAACUGGGGCUAAUACCGGAUAGGAGCUCCUGCUGCAUGGUGGGGGUUGGAAAGUUUCGGCGGUUGGGGAUGGACUCGCGGCUUAUCAGCUUGUUGGUGGGGUAGUGGCUUACCAAGGCUUUGACGGGUAGCCGGCCUGAGAGGGUGACCGGCCACAUUGGGACUGAGAUACGGCCCAGACUCCUACGGGAGGCAGCAGUGGGGAAUAUUGCACAAUGGGCGGAAGCCUGAUGCAGCAACGCCGCGUGCGGGAUGACGGCCUUCGGGUUGUAAACCGCUUUCGCAUGUGACGAAGCGUGAGUGACGGUAAUGGGUAAAGAAGCACCGGCUAACUACGUG
RNAcentral lists this ribosomal RNA (468 nucleotides) under uncultured bacterium. RNAcentral describes it as "partial 16S ribosomal RNA". It matches the Rfam family "Bacterial small subunit ribosomal RNA", at positions 28 to 507 of the family's 1533-position model. The record is from RNAcentral.